RNAcentral lists this ribosomal RNA (253 nucleotides) under uncultured bacterium. RNAcentral describes it as "partial 16S ribosomal RNA". It matches the Rfam family "Bacterial small subunit ribosomal RNA", at positions 524 to 776 of the family's 1533-position model. The record is from RNAcentral.
UACGUAGGGUGCAAGCGUUAUCCGGAAUUAUUGGGCGUAAAGAGCUCGUAGGCGGUCUGUCGCGUCUGCUGUGAAAUCUGGGGGCUCAACCCCCAGCCUGCAGUGGGUACGGGCAGACUAGAGUGCGGUAGGGGAGAUUGGAACUCCUGGUGUAGCGGUGGAAUGCGCAGAUAUCAGGAAGAACACCGAUGGCGAAGGCAGAUCUCUGGGCCGUAACUGACGCUGAGGAGCGAAAGCGUGGGGAGCGAACAGG